GGGGCCGGCGGGCGGCGGCGGGGGGAGGGACGGAUUCCUGAGCCCGGGCUGGGGCGGGGGGGCCCGGGGGAGGAGCGCGGCUGGGAGGCUCCGCCGAGCGGGGCGCAGAAGUUUGGGGAAGGGGAGGGUCCGGGCGGAUUCCUCCCCGCCGCCGCCCCGUGUGCUGCCUGGGCUGGGGCGGCCGCGGACCCCGACGGAGCGGGGGCGGAGCCGGGACGCUGCUGCCCCCCGCCGCGCGCCCUUGGGAGGGUGGCUCUCCAGGGACUUGGCCAAAGGCGAGCCUGCCAAGCAGAGCGGCUUCCAGAUCCAGAAGGGCUGCCUAGCAGUCCUGAAGGUGAAGCACCCGACACCUUGUUCUUCCAUCUUUCGGCUCCCGCGCUCGCAUCUGGAUUCCCAAUCCUUUCUUACACCCCACCUCAGACUUCACUUCUGCCACGAAUCGGUCCUGUCAGUGUGACAACACCCACCGUCUGUUAGGACAUGGAAAGGGCUGGUGGGGAGGCGAAAUGUUUGGCCAAUGUUUCCAUCACAA
Meriones unguiculatus (Mongolian gerbil) is the source of this 532-nucleotide long non-coding RNA. RefSeq lists it as uncharacterized. The transcript is spliced from 2 exons. NCBI's taxonomy places the organism in Eukaryota, Metazoa, Chordata, Mammalia, Rodentia, Muridae. The record is from RefSeq and is a predicted model, not a curated record.